Molecule: ribosomal RNA, 265 nt
Filed under: uncultured bacterium
Lineage: Bacteria
Description: partial 16S ribosomal RNA
Rfam family: Bacterial small subunit ribosomal RNA
Source: RNAcentral
GUCCACGCCCUAAACGAUGCUAACUGGACGUUGGGAGCAAUUAGGCUCUCAGUGUCGAAGCUAACGCGUUAAGUUCGCCGCCUGUGGAGUACGGUCGCAAGACUGAAACUCAAAGGAAUUGACGGGGGCCCCGCACAAGCGGUGGAGUAUGUGGUUUAAUUCGAUGCAACGCGCAGAACCUUACCUGGCCUUGACAUCCACGGAAUCCUUGAGAGAUCAGGGAGUGCCUUCGGGAACCGUGAGACAGGUGCUGCAUGGCUGUCGU